RNAcentral lists this ribosomal RNA (35 nucleotides) under Veronica micrantha. Its description in RNAcentral is "partial 26S ribosomal RNA". The record is from RNAcentral. Lineage: Eukaryota; Viridiplantae; Streptophyta; Magnoliopsida; Lamiales; Plantaginaceae.
CGACCGCGACCCCAGGUCAGGCGGGACUACCCGCU